AUGGCACACACCACACUCCUCCUCUACACUGUCAUCUCACUCUCGCUCUCCCUUGCAGCUUCAGUUCUUGCGCCACCGCCUGACACCACCCAACAAGCACCGACGACGGUGCGGGCCGGCUACUACUUCGCCGCCGACGCCGACCUCUGGCCCCUCUCGGCCCUCGACGUUUCCCUCUACACUCACCUCUACUACUCCUCUCUCUCCGUGCACCCCACGCGGCACACGCUCCAGCUCCCAGCCGACCUGGCCCAGGCGCGCCUCCUCGCCAACUUCUCCCGGGAGCUCAAAGGGAGGAACCCGGCGCUCAGGACCCUUCUCUCCCUCGCCACCGCCGGCGCCGAAGAUGCCGCAGCAGGCGCCACCACGGCAUCUGGGGACCCCGCGUUCGCCGCCAUGGCCGCGGACCCGACGUCGCGGGUCGCGUUCGUCGACGCGGCCGUUCGGGUGGCGCGGGAGAAUGGCUUCGACGGGAUCGACGUCGCGUGGCGGUUCCCGGCGUCAGCGGUGGAGAUGGCCGACUUCGGGUUCCUUGUGGCCGAGUGGCGCGCCGCGGCGCCCCAGGGGUUCCUGCUCACGGCCACCGUCUACUUCUCUAACCACGUGUUCGGCGCGCCGUUCGCCGGCGUGGACUACCCUUCGGAGGCGCUCGCGGGGAGCCUCGACUGGAUCAACGUGAUGGCGUUCGGGCUCCGGCCGGCCGGCGCAGCGGCCAACGUCACGGCCUUCGACGCGCCGCUGUACGACAGGGCGUCGCACUUCUCGGUGAGCUACGGCGUCGUCUCCUGGCUCGACGCGGGCGUCCCGGCGGGCAAGGUGGUCAUGGGGCUCCCGCUCUACGGCCGGUCGUGGUUCCUGCGCAAUAAGGCCAACAGCGGCGUCGGUGCGCUGGUCGUGGCCGCCGGGCCGAAGCAGCGCGGGAGCAACGCGACGGGGGCCAUGUCCUACGCCGAGGUGCAGGCGCUCACCGCGACCGCGGGCGGACGCGCGCCGGUGAUGACGUCGUACGACAACGCCUCCGUGUCGUCGUACCUGGCGGUGGGCGACGUCUGGGUCGCCUUCGACGGCGCGGCCGUCGUCGCCGAGAAGCUCGGCUUCGCCGCGCGGUGCGGCCUGCUCGGCUACUUCCUGUGGCCAGUGAACUACGACGACUCCAACCUCACGGUAACCAGGAGAGCAUCUGAGGUCUGGGAGCAGAGCAAAAUUUCGUCGGAUUUGAGGAACGUCACGGGCGUCCGGCAGGGGAAAGCCCCAUUUGAGCUGCCGCCGGCUCUCGGGUCGCCUUCGCCGGUGCCCGUGCCGACGUCCGCAUCGUUCUCAUGGCUGUGCCGGAAGAAGCUGCAUUUGUCUGUACUAAUUCUCCUCUUAUAUUAA
This 1374-nucleotide ribosomal RNA is filed under the name Triticum aestivum (bread wheat). Its description in RNAcentral is "partial small subunit ribosomal RNA". Lineage: Eukaryota; Viridiplantae; Streptophyta; Magnoliopsida; Poales; Poaceae. The record is from RNAcentral.